Non-coding RNA from Xyrichtys novacula (pearly razorfish), 405 nucleotides. Lineage: Eukaryota; Metazoa; Chordata; Actinopteri; Labriformes; Labridae. The record is from the annotation of a GenBank genome assembly.
CUGCUAAUGUUUGUAAAAGGGGGCACCGGCGGUGACCUCCAAGACGCUGGAUCUGCCGUGGAAACCAGAGGGAGGUGAGGGCGCCAUUUCAAACCGAAUGAAAAUGUCACCCCAUUAGGGCGUCUAAUAAUAUCUCCUGGUUCCUGUGAAUCCGAGUCAGUCAGAAAAGCUGGUUUUAGAUGCAGGGUGUCAUGAAUAAAUAAUUUCCUCCUCUUUUUGGUGCACACAGAGACAGAGAAGGGGGGGCUGAUUGACAGAGACGUGUGAUGCUCUCUGUGAGGAGAGUCUGGAGUUGUUUCAAUGAGUAUGCAGAUGCACGCCGCUCAGCAGACUGUAAGCUCCUCGCUCGGAGAUCUGGGACAGCUGUGCCUGAUCUCAAAUGUUACAUCUCCACUCAGACACCAC